CUACGGGGGGCAGCAGUAGGGAAUAUUGGUCAAUGGACGAAAGUCUGAACCAGCCAUGCCGCGUGAAGGAUUGACGGUUCUAUGAAUUGUAAACUUCUUUUAUUCGGGAAGAAAAAGGAUUUUUCUAAAUCCCUUGACGGUACCGUAUGAAUAAGCACCGGCUAACUCCGUGCCAGCAGCCGCGGUAAUACGGAGGGUGCAAGCGUUAUCCGGAUUUACUGGGUUUAAAGGAUGCGUAGGUGGCUUGAUAAGUUAGUGGUGAAAUCCUACAGCUUAACUGUAGAACUGCCAUUAAAACUGUCAGGCUUGAGUGUAGUUGAGGCGGGUGGAAUGUAACAUGUAGCGGUGAAAUGCUUAGAUAUGUUACAGAACACCGAUUGUGAAGGCAGCUCGCUAGACUACUACUGACGCUGAGGCAUGAAAGCGUGGGGAGCGAACAGGAUUAGAUACCCUGGUAGUC
Molecule: ribosomal RNA, 460 nt
Filed under: uncultured bacterium
Lineage: Bacteria
Description: partial 16S ribosomal RNA
Rfam family: Bacterial small subunit ribosomal RNA
Source: RNAcentral